UAUCCGGAUUUAUUGGGUUUAAAGGGAGCGUAGGCGGGUGCUUAAGUCAGUUGUGAAAGUUUGCGGCUCAACCGUAAAAUUGCAGUUGAUACUGGGUACCUUGAGUGCAGCAUAGGUAGGCGGAAUUCGUGGUGUAGCGGUGAAAUGCUUAGAUAUCACGAAGAACUCCGAUUGCGAAGGCAGCUUACUGGACUGUAACUGACGCUGAUGCUCGAAAGUGUGGGUAUCAAACAGGAUUAGAUACCCUGGUAGUCCACACAGUAAACGAUGAAUACUCGCUGUUGGCGAUACACAGUCAGCGGCCAAGCGAAAGCAUUGAGUAUUCCACCUGGGGAAUACGCCGGCAACGG
This 350-nucleotide ribosomal RNA is filed under the name uncultured bacterium. RNAcentral describes it as "bacterial SSU rRNA". It matches the Rfam family "Bacterial small subunit ribosomal RNA", at positions 542 to 894 of the family's 1533-position model. The record is from RNAcentral.